UGAACUUUUCGACAUCCUCAAAUGUUAUUGUGUUGAUGAUUAUUUUCAAGGACGAGAAACCUUAGACUUUGGAACUGCCGUUUCUUGUUAAUGGUUGUCUUGCUUGAUUCACCAACUUGAUGUGGAUCUGUUCAAGGAAACUAUCUAGGAGCUUGCCUUUACCCAAACACCAUAAUACCAGUUGAAAAAACAAUAGGAAACUCAGACGAUUUGCUCCCCGUAACUAAUUUUCCAGACUGCAGUUUGCAUCCUUCACUAAGCAAGCAAAAUAGAGGGAAAGGUCCACAAUCAUUUGGGGGAAAGGUCCACAUCAUUUGGGUUGUUGGGGUUGGGGUGUUAAACACUUGCAGUGUCCUGUGGAAAACCUUUUGAGUACAGAAUUGGUUUUCGCCAAAGAAACCUCAAGAAUCAGCUCAUUGGAGAGAGCUUAGAGUCCUUUUUUGUUUCUAUUUUUUUGAAACCAAAAUCUUUGCACGCUUCCUCAAAGGUCAAGACAUACAUUUUCAGCUCAAAAGUCAAAAUAGCUCCAUUCCCAUUUCUUUCUUUUCCUUCUUAAACACUCAAAAAGCUUAGGCUACUGGGUCUCUAAAGUCAAAUCCUUUAUUUUGGACUUGAUAGCUUGAUCUUUUGGUGGCAAUAAAAUUGUUGAGACAAACCGGGCAAGCAAAGUUAUGAAGAUGAGAUGGGGUCAACUGUGAUGACGAUAAGGGUGUGGCAAGCAUCAUGCUCAAUUUGCUCAAAAUUACCCCGGAAAUGGACACAAGAGACGCACGCAUUGACACUGUAUUUCCAGUAUGAGCUUGCCUCGCCCCAUACCCAGUGUCUUUUAACAAGAGUCAAUCCUUGUGCCAUUUAAAGAUAGCUUUGUUGGCACAUGCACAAUUUGUUGUUGCCAAAGAUGUCACAAAUGUUGAUUAGACCCGUGAAAUCUUCCAUUCCAACCGUGAUAAUAAGAACUCAUUAAAACAUUAACAGGAUAAUUAAAGCCUGUUUCACACGUGAAGCAAGAGCUGAAGCAAACGAAGUAGGCAUGCGCAGUCAAAACUUGUUGGAUGAAGCAAGGAAUGAAGCAAAAUGUGAAGUAAGCCGUUUACACGCGCAAGCAAAUUAAAAAAAUCUGAUGUAAAAGUAUAGACUGCCUUGAUCGGCUUCAGACAAUCAUAAAUAAACAGUUACGUGGUCAGAGAUAUAAACAGAAUUGGACGCAGAAGUUUUACUUUCAUUAAGAUCUUGAAACUAGAACGUAAAAUACGUAGACGAAGCAGUUACAGACGAAAACAGCCCCGGCGGGCUCAAUGGGUUGGUCCAAUGUAUACCAUGUAUUCCUGAAAGUAGAAACUGGCUGGACCCUAACCUUUGAUUCUGGGUUGCGUAAAAUGUGCUCUUUUCUCAGACUUUGUAACCCUAUUCACUGGGAAUGAUCAAGCUCGAGCAAGUAAUUUCAAAACCAAUUCGUGUAAGAACCAUUCUAUUUCUUAAACUUAGUCGAAAGGUAUACUUAAGAGCAGAGUUCACUAAAUUUGAUUUCAAAAACGAUCCCUUGUGACAGCUGUACAACUAUAAAUGCAACAUACAUUUGGAACUCAGAAGUGGCUUACUUGCGUGCAAAGCCAAGAAAUACCAAUUGAUGUCUUUUCAUCGUUAAUUUUUUGGAACCACUAUGAAAUGAAAAUCAAAGAUUGCACAUUUUCAGGUGGUAAGAAUUCACAAAUCCUGACAGUGCUUACAAAGGUAAAGGUAGCAAAAUACCGAUAAAAUUAAACCUUGGAAUAUGUCCAGGGAACAUUCUUGUUUUGUGUACCUACAAGUGGUUCACUUUGAUCAGCACUAAGAACCAAGAUCCAUCCAUGAAUUAAAUGUGUCAGAUUCUCCGGAUCCGCGACGAAUAGGGCGUAAUUAAGGUUGACAACCGAUUCCCGUCGAUUGAAGGGUGCUCUUCCUAGUGGGCUGGGUCCAACUUCUUGCAAUGGUGGGAAAAAGGCAGGAAGGGGGCUUGUCCGAAAUUUCUCCCACUUUAAUAUACUUGAAAUUUGGUAGUGAAUACAAUAAUUUGCACCAAACCACCAAAUAGUUUACAAGUUAUCCAAAUGAACACGUAUCAGUUGGUCUUUAUAUUGCGGAUUAUAUAUAAAGGUCCUUGGUGUUCUCCAGACAUUCGCGAUAAAAUACUAACUUCCUUUAACAACACUGGGGCUUAAUGUUGUUGAAAUUCGAAAAAAAAUAUGAAUAAUUGCCAGGCUGUGUAUUCAGAGCAAAAAAGGUUGUAUGGUGCUAGCAUUUUUCGCUUUCAAAUAUAUUUUCAUAAAAAAGAAAUAGCAAGAAUUUGCACUUUCCUUCUCGAUUCUUCUCAAAUUUAAGAAAUAUGGCUCAGAAAACAAAGGGGCCCAUGCUAUUUACAAACUACUCAAAGCCUUAUACUAAUGUCGAUAGAUUUCUUUUGCUCCUAGGAGAUUGGACUUAGUGUGAACCAUUUGAUGCUGUUUAUUAUUUUUAGAUAUUUGCUUACAACUUACAACAGUUUUUACACGGAGAGCUUCCUCACCUGACAAGAUUCAGAGUGUAAAAGGCGCGAAGAAUUGUGAAGUAAAGUUGUAGAAUGGAAAGGGCCAGCCACAAAAAGCAACAAAUGACUGUUACUGUUUUUGAUUAAAGUCACUAUAACCUGUCAGUCAACCGUUCAACGUUAACAACAGACUUUGAAACGCGUUUAUGAUAAAAAACAUCGAGAAGCAGCCGAUUGAAUUGAGCUGAACCGAUUAAGUUACUUAUUAUAACAAUGUUCUGUUUGUUCCGUUGCGCUAGCCGGCAAUUUACAUUAACGAUAUUUACAGUAAAAUUAGGACUGGGACCGACCUAGAGGCCAUGUUAGUUUUUCGUGAUCGAGUGUUGUGUUAUCGUUAGAAAUAGAGAAGUAAUGGAACUUUUUGCGUUUUUACUCAAGUGACGGUGUGCCUUGACAAUUUCGGUACAUCUGGUGACCCUGCAAUCGAUUAGAGAAGGUGUACCUUGACAAGCUUUAACAAAUUCGGUACAGAGCCUCCUGAAGAAAAAACAUAAUAUUUGCAAGUUAGUGAGCAGGAGCAAUGCAAACCGACGAAACACGGUAAAACAGAAACAGAAAAUGACUCACAGAAUGAAAAUAUCAAAAUGAAACAGGCAGUGAGAAAUGGACAUCUUUCCUGCUUGCCUUUUUUUGUAUGUGUGUGUGCAAAGUAUAGAGAAUCUUGGGUAGGGCUUACAAAGUGAUGUUCCUUCAGGCACAAUUGACAAUAAAAAAUUCACUGACAGGAUAAAGAACUGAAUUUCAUUGCAUUCUCAUUUAGCUUACAGCUUUACUUCUGCUUCGUUUACAGGAUUAUCAACUAUUUCAAUGCUUGAGAGUCCUAUCCGAAAAAUUUUGCUUGGUUCACUGGGGGUUUGCCAGGGAAAUCUCCAUCUUGCUUGAAAUACAAAUUGAUCAUUUUUUUGUCUUCUUCGUUAUCCCAGUCAAGUUUACGGAAUGAAUAUGAUCCAGCAUCAAUAUUCCAAUCCUCGUUUAACUGCAACAGAGGGAUAAGAAACAUACAACAAGAUUAGUUUAAGUACAUUUUUUGGUUGUCUUCAUCAUUUCAGAACAGAAAAGUGAAAAAAAAACAAUACAGGUGUUAGUGCUUGAGUAAGAAAAAUACACUUUAGGAAGAAAAUUUAAAAAAACCAUGAUAGUAUAGCACUCUUGAAAGGCUACAAUGCAAGAAACAGUAAACAACUAUUUGUCCGAAACAGGUAUUAUCUCAUAAUAUCUGGAAAUGUUAAGUAGAGCAUAGGUACUGCUUCAAACCUUUUGUGAGAUUGCAAUAAAUUCUUAUUCGGAAAACACAUAUUUCAAGCUUGCAACUAAACUCUGAAGCCUCCAACUAGACUUUUAAACACUAAGAGUCCUAAAAUCUGAAAACAUGAGAAGACCAAAAGAACAAACAGUCUUACGCUGAAUGCAAGUUCCUGGCCCCUGAAAAUCCAAAGACCGCCAAUCAUGAUAUUACCAUCUUUACCGAAUACACACAUACUUCCAAAGGCAUUUUUAUGGAGCUUGUCAAGACGCUGCAACAUUCCUGACACAAGGUUGCAAGCCAUGAAAAUUUUUUUCAGUUCGUCGUUGUAAUUAUACU
Rhopilema esculentum is the source of this 4145-nucleotide non-coding RNA. The record is from RefSeq and is a predicted model, not a curated record. NCBI's taxonomy places the organism in Eukaryota, Metazoa, Cnidaria, Scyphozoa, Rhizostomeae, Rhizostomatidae.